RNAcentral lists this unclassified non-coding RNA (1739 nucleotides) under Megachile rotundata (alfalfa leafcutting bee). RNAcentral's name for it is "lachesin, transcript variant X1". The record is from RNAcentral. Lineage: Eukaryota; Metazoa; Arthropoda; Insecta; Hymenoptera; Megachilidae.
CCCAGCGCCAUUUGCAAAUUUUAACAUUCUACAACUGCCUGGAGGAAGGAGCGGACGUGUGAGACCGAUUCAAACGUUUUUUAAAAUAUUUUGUGUGUGAAAUGUGAAUUUUUGUGCUACAAAGGCCGUCAUUGUUUUCUGUCACCUACAGAAUUGGUGUCCUGGAUGCGUAAAAGGGACAUGCAUAUCCUGAGCGCCGGGACUUUGAUGUACACGUCGGAUCUGAGGUUCCAGGUGAACCAUCCCCAGAAGUCCGAAAACUGGACACUGCAGAUCAAAUCUCCUCAACAACGAGAUUCCGGGGUUUACGAGUGCCAGGUCAGCACGGAGCCGAAGAUGUCGUUGAACUACAGCCUCAACGUGAUCGAGGCACGAGCAAGAAUAAGUGGCUCAUCGGAUGUAUACGUGAAAACAGGUAGCGUUCUGACGCUCACCUGCCAGAUGUCUCAAGGACCUCAUGAUCUGGGCACAGUAGCAUGGUACCGUGGUAGUCAGCCAGUAGUGACGUCGCCACAUUCGGAGAACGACGUGAACAGUGAACCUCGUAUCACCGUGGAAACUGAAUGGAGCGACGCUCUGACUUCAAGAUUGAAGAUCACCCAUGCAAAACCAGGCGACUCCGGGAACUAUAGCUGUGUGCCCACUGUGGCGGAGAAGGCCAGCGUCACCGUGCACGUCAUCAAUGGGGAGCAUCCCGCCGCAAUGCAGCACGGGAACACGGCAGCAGGCUCGCCAACAUCGAAGACGGUCCUCCUAAUGCUCGCCUUCUUUUUGGGUCAAUUGAGAUAAUGUGUGUUCUCGUACGUGUCUGUGCGUGGCAUUUACACGUGUGUGUCUCUGUAUGUGUGUGUGUGCGAAUGGACACGUGUGUGCACGUGCGAGUUUUCUCGCACAUGAUGAAUCUUUCCGAGCAUUAAGUGAAAUUCGAUGGAUCGUAGUCACCCCAUUCCCUGUUUGUACCUUGAUCGAAAUUCAAUCGACGGCUGAACGAGCAAUCAUCGACGAAGAAGCUUUCUUGUACCGUCGGAUCUACGGUGAAAUUGAUUGAACUUAAUGGUUUGACUGAAAAUCGAAGAAAGCUUCUUCAAUAAUCGAUAUCGAUCGAAAGUGGACGAAUGAAACAACGAUGGAGCUUUUCCCGAAAGCAUAUUUGUCUUGCGAUUGUUGGUGCAAGAAGGAUCGUCGAUGAAGGGACUCUGUAUGAAAUAUAAAAAGUAUAAAAACGCGUAAUCGUCGCGACUUUCAGUGCAUCUAUAGACACUCUAUCGAUUACGUCAGUCGUAGUAUCCCAGGUUCGAUAUGUGUAAUAACUUGCAGAUUACUACUGCGUUCUAGUGUCAUCGAGAUAAGGAAACAAGAACAGUAAUCGAAGCAACAUUUUACAUGGUGUAUGCUGUUAAUGGUGAUUAAUGAGAGUGCAAGGAUAUUAAGUGCGCAUGCGUUUGAAGACGGUAUUUCAGUACUAUACGUAAGAUCGCGAGGUAGGGAUGGUUUUGCGUGUGCCAUUAAUUAUUGUUCGCGGGGAGACGAUCGUUGCUGGUGCAAUAAUUCGUUCGUUCGUAAUAAAAUUUGUUCAGACAGGUUUUAGGCACUUUUAGCGUUCGUGACAAAGAAUUUUGAAAUUUUCGAAUUCAUCAAUUAGAAAAUUUGAGAAUCGGUGAACUUAUGCACUUGGAGAUUGGAAAGUCUCGAAUGCGAAAUUCGAGAAUUUGGAAAUUUAGGAAUUAGGAAAAUUUGAA